GAAUUGACGGGGGCCCGCACAAGCGGUGGAUUAUGUGGAUUAAUUCGAUGCAACGCGAAAAACCUUACCUGGCCUUGACAUGUACCGAAUUUACCAGAGAUGGUUUAGUGCUCGAAAGAGAACGGUAACACAGGUGCUGCAUGGCUGUCGUCAGCUCGUGUCGUGAGAUGUUGGGUUAAGUCCCGCAACGAGCGCAACCCUUGCCAAUAAUUGCCAUCAUUUAGUUGGGCACUUUAUUGGGACUGCCGGUGACAAACCGGAGGAAGGUGGGGAUGACGUCAAGUCCUCAUGGCCCUUAUGGCCAGGGCUUCACACGUAAUACAAUGGUCGGUACAGAGGGUCGCCAACCCGCGAGGGGGAGCUAAUCCCAGAAAGCCGAUCGUAGUCCGGAUUGCAGGCUGCAACUCGCCUGCAUGAAGUCGGAAUCGCUAGUAAUCGCGGAUCAGCAUGUCGCGGUGAAUACGUUCCCGGGCCUUGUACACACCGCCCGUCACACCAUGGGAGUGGGUUUUACCAGAAGUAGGUAGUCUAACCGCAAGGAGGGCGCUUACCACGGUAGUAUUCAUGACUGGGGUGAAGUCGUAACAAGGUAACCGUA
This 598-nucleotide ribosomal RNA is filed under the name uncultured bacterium. RNAcentral describes it as "bacterial SSU rRNA". It matches the Rfam family "Bacterial small subunit ribosomal RNA", at positions 907 to 1504 of the family's 1533-position model. The record is from RNAcentral.